GAACAGCUGGCGGCGUGCUUAACACAUGCAAGUCGAGCGGAAAGGCCUUUCGGGGUACUCGAGCGGCGAAUGGGUGAGUAACACGUGAGUAAUCUGCCCUUGGCUUUGGGAUAACUACCGGAAACGGUGGCUAAUACCGGAUACGACACAGGUGUGCAUGCACUCUGUGUGGAAAGUUUUUUCGGCCAGGGAUGUGCUCGCGGCCUAUCAGCUUGUUGGUGGGGUAAUGGCCUACCAAGGCUUCGACGGGUAGCCGGCCUGAGAGGGUGACCGGCCACACUGGGACUGAGACACGGCCCAGACUCCUACGGGAGGCAGCAGUGGGGAAUAUUGGACAAUGGGCGGAAGCCUGAUCCAGCAACGCCGCGUGAGGGAUGACGGCCUUCGGGUUGUAAACCUCUUUCAGUACCGACGAAGCGCCGAUGAUGGUGGUGACGGUAGGUACAGAAGAAGCACCGGCCAACUACGUGCCAGCAGCCGCGGUAAUACGUAGGGUGCGAGCGUUGUCCGGAAUUAUUGGGCGUAAAGGGCUCGUAGGCGGUUUGUCGCGUCGGGAGUGAAAAUCCAGGGCUUAACUCUGGACUGGCUUUCGAUACGGGCAGACUAGAGGUAUGCAGGGGAGAACGGAAUUCCUGGUGUAGCGGUGAAAUGCGCAGAUAUCAGGGAGGAACACCGGUGGCGAAGGCGGUUCUCUGGGCAUUACCUGACGCUGAGGAGCGAAAGUGUGGGGAGCGAACAGGAUUAGAUACCCUGGUAGUCCACACCGUAAACGUUGGGCGCUAGGUGUGGGGCCUAUUCCAUGGGUUCCGUGCCGCA
This 816-nucleotide ribosomal RNA is filed under the name uncultured earthworm intestine bacterium. Its description in RNAcentral is "bacterial SSU rRNA". It matches the Rfam family "Bacterial small subunit ribosomal RNA", at positions 31 to 850 of the family's 1533-position model. The record is from RNAcentral.